This 308-nucleotide ribosomal RNA is filed under the name uncultured bacterium. Its description in RNAcentral is "partial 16S ribosomal RNA". It matches the Rfam family "Bacterial small subunit ribosomal RNA", at positions 505 to 809 of the family's 1533-position model. The record is from RNAcentral.
GAGACAGCAGCCGCCGCGGUAACACCGAGGGUGCGAGCGUUAAUCGGAUUUACUGGGCGUAAAGCGUGUGUAGGUUGUUGUUCAAGUCAGUUGUGAAAUCCCUGGGCUCAACCUGGGAACUGCUUCUAAGACUGAACGACUAGAGUACGGUAGAGGGUGGUGGAAUUUCCGGUGUAGCGGUGAAAUGCGUAGAUAUCGGAAGGAACAUCAAUGGCGAAGGCAGCCACCUGGGCCUGUACUGACACUGAGACACGAAAGCGUGGGGAUCAAACAGGAUUAGAUACCCCCGUAGUCCUGUCUCUUAUACA